GAGGGUGUAGCUCAGUGGUUGAGCAUAUGCUUAGCAUGCACGAGGUCCUGAGUUCAAUCCCCAGUACCUCCU
RNAcentral lists this transfer RNA (72 nucleotides) under Camelus bactrianus (Bactrian camel). It matches the Rfam family "tRNA". Rfam says of the family: Transfer RNA (tRNA) molecules are approximately 80 nucleotides in length. Their secondary structure includes four short double-helical elements and three loops (D, anti-codon, and T loops). Further hydrogen bonds mediate the characteristic L-shaped molecular structure. tRNAs have two regions of fundamental functional importance: the anti-codon, which is responsible for specific mRNA codon recognition, and the 3' end, to which the tRNAs corresponding amino acid is attached (by aminoacyl-tRNA synthetases). tRNAs cope with the degeneracy of the genetic code in two manners: having more than one tRNA (with a specific anti-codon) for a particular amino acid; and 'wobble' base-pairing, i.e. permitting non-standard base-pairing at the 3rd anti-codon position. Lineage: Eukaryota; Metazoa; Chordata; Mammalia; Artiodactyla; Camelidae. RNAcentral also lists the same sequence under 2 other names. The record is from Rfam by way of RNAcentral.